Long non-coding RNA from Drosophila obscura, 617 nucleotides. RefSeq lists it as uncharacterized. The record is from RefSeq and is a predicted model, not a curated record. Lineage: Eukaryota; Metazoa; Arthropoda; Insecta; Diptera; Drosophilidae. The transcript is spliced from 5 exons.
AUAACACUUCAAAUUAAUAAAUUAAACGCCAUACAACAGACUCCGAACCUUGAAAAGUUAGCGUCGUGCAGUGAAAUAAAAGUGGAACAAAAAUUAUUAGAAAAAGAAUUAGAAGAAACUGGAAUACAGAUAGAACAGGAAGAAUUAGUUUAUGAGGAAAUUCAACCAAAUAAAUCGUCAUUAAAUAUGUACUUUCAGAAAAUCUACAGCAGGAGAAUGCCGUUGUUCGUGAUCAAUUAAACGUCCAUGAAAAAAUAUUAGCUGACCAAACAGUUUUAAUAAAACAGCUUACAAAGGAGAAGGGCGAUAUGAAUUCUGUUCGGGACCAGUUCCCGAUUGAAACGGACGAGCAGCUGAUGAAAAUGGAGGAGAAUAUAAAAAUGAAUAGAGACAUUUAUAUUUCAACAAGCAAAUCCAUAUUACAGCCAGCCGGAGUGCUUGUCAACUUAAAAUUUAUUUUAAGUCAGGAAAGUGUACUGGCAUAUAAUGUGGAUGGAGUACAAGGGAAGAAAGUCCUCAGGAGCCACUCGGAGUUUUAUGGAGCUUUGCUAGAAUGUAUUCCGCCUGGAGACGAAGCACCAGAAAUGCUGAUGCGCAAAGCGAUGCAGAGGGUGAAA